UACACAUGCAGUCGAACGGCAGCACGGGAGCAAUCCUGGUGGCGAGUGGCGAACGGGUGAGUAAUAUAUCGGAACGUGCCCAGUCGUGGGGGAUAACGCAGCGAAAGCUGUGCUAAUACCGCAUACGAUCUAUGGAUGAAAGCGGGGGAUCGCAAGACCUCGCGCGAUUGGAGCGGCCGAUAUCAGAUUAGCUAGUUGGUGGGGUAAAGGCCUACCAAGGCGACGAUCUGUAGCUGGUCUGAGAGGACGACCAGCCACACUGGAACUGAGACACGGUCCAGACUCCUACGGGAGGCAGCAGUGGGGAAUUUUGGACAAUGGGCGCAAGCCUGAUCCAGCAAUGCCGCGUGCAGGAUGAAGGCCUUCGGGUUGUAAACUGCUUUUGUACGGAGCGAAAAGGUUGUCUCUAAUACAGAUGGCUCAUGACGGUACCGUAAGAAUAAGCACCGGCUAACUACGUGCCAGCAGCCGCGGUAAUACGUAGGGUGCAAGCGUUAAUCGGAAUUACUGGGCGUAAAGCGUGCGCAGGCGGUGAUGUAAGACAGAUGUGAAAUCCCCGGGCUCAACCUGGGACCUGCAUUUGUGACUGCAUCGCUGGAGUGCGGCAGAGGGGGAUGGAAUUCCGCGUGUAGCAGUGAAAUGCGUAGAUAUGCGGAGGAACACCGAUGGCGAA
RNAcentral lists this ribosomal RNA (673 nucleotides) under bacterium 149_xplvp363. RNAcentral's name for it is "bacterial SSU rRNA". It matches the Rfam family "Bacterial small subunit ribosomal RNA", at positions 50 to 719 of the family's 1533-position model. RNAcentral also lists the same sequence under 1 other name. The record is from RNAcentral.